GUACUAAGGUAAGGCCAAGGCCUUAUGAUGUAUGAUGAAAUCUGAGACACACACUUCAUGUCAAGAGCUAUCAAUGAACACACAAUGAAGAAUGAUUCCUAAUCUGAAGUACAUUAAUUCUCUACUGCGUCAGCUCUCUCAAAAACCUCGUAAUAUGUCUUAAUGUCUUCUUGCGUACUCAAGGACAAGUUCAGCAAUACAUGACUAACUGUGGAGUGUUUGAAGCAUCAUGACUCAACAUCAAACCUAAACCAAAGGCCUUCAAGUAAGCAUCAAAGCAAGUCCAUUGUAACAACCGAGUCGAGGCUGCCGUAACUACAAACAACCCGGUAAACAGGCCUCUUGUGUCACCUUUAACAGUUACAAAUGACAAGUAGUGGUCCUCAAUGUAAGUACUACAGAACACAUGACACAUAUUCACUUUACACCCUUUAAUCCACAAAGAGGACCUAAAACCUGUUCUCAUUGGUUGGCAUCAGGCCAAACUGUUUAAAACAAGGGUCUUGUUUUGAAGUUCGGGACAAACCAAAGAAUCUGGCCUUCACAUUCUGACAAACUGUUGCCUUGCAAUUGGGAGGCAAACCUUUCCACCCAGGAGUUCAAGGCUUGCCAUACCCUGCACUUUGCCAUACAGACAGUGAGCAAGGUGGGCGUAAGAUGCCGAGUGGAAGUUCCCCCAAAGUAUAGCAUGCACAUUUCAGGCCUGCUUCAGAGACAACAGAGACUGAAGUGCCCACAGCCCAGUACUACAGAGCUCAAUUGGCUGUGACCACCCUCCCAACAACAAUUGUUGGAACACCACUACAUCUACUAAAAGAGGGGAAGAUUUUGAAGAGUUUGCAGUGAGGAGCCACUUGAAGUCUCUUGCCUGUUCCGACAAGAGCUGAACAUUAUCUAUAUGCAGUAACAUGUAGACCAAAAUGUUCUGAAUUUAGACGACAAAAUGUACUGAAACAUUGGGGGAUACAAAGGUUGACAAUAUUGCACUGGAGCAACAUGCCAUUAUUGUUCUUGUUCAACUCACAUCAGAAUGGCGAUGCUACUCUUAAAAACAAAUAAGAGUGUCCUUUACAACUGAGGAUGCUUUACGAGUGCGAACUUUUGUAAAAUCAAAGUACACUUUUCAGGCUGAGAGCACUCGCUGCGGACUUCCAUUCACGCACUACACUCUUCAAAAAGCAGUUGUGCUCUUCAAUUUUGCACAAGGUCCUUCAUUUUCUUUGAAGAUAAGUGCAUAAAUGUUGCAACUGAGUAGGGUAACGGUAUGGACUGUCAGUUUGCGGGAGCUUGAGUGUAUGAUUUAUACGUUUGCAGUCAAUACUUUGACAGGUCUGAAAAGCUUUAAGGCUGGCUGUAUGAAUCCUGUAAGGGCAAAGCUAUUCAAUGUACUACACUUGCCUAUGUUUUAGACUGGCUGGUCUUGAGCGAUAACAGGAACAUGUACUGAUUAGGUUUGAUAUGACACAAUAUGGACUACAUUAUUCUUGUGCAGCAUUACCCUCUUACAUGUAACAGUUAUUCUAAAAUAGGCAGGAUAAUUGUAUGAUAGACUCUUGCAUUAGGGAACCUUCCUAAAUGACCCGAAUCAAAAUGUAAGCUAUAUCAUGGAUUUUACACUACAAUUAUGCCUUAUAAUCAAAUGUACAUUUAUUUCCUUUCCCUGGGUCUAUUCUGAACCAAGAACUGUUAAGAUGGUAAAUAUGUGCAUUAUGCUAAUUUUGAAAUGUUUUAUUUUUAUCUUUCAGUUGGUACAAUAUAUUAGAAGAAAAGGUCUAUAUAGAGCUAUUUUGAAAUUCAUCAUUGUUAUCAGUAAACAUUUUAUCUAUGCAUAAACAUCUUUAUUGAUAAUUUGUAUCUUUUGCUGUUUUUGGACACAGAACAUACAUGUAAGUCACACAUCUAAAAUAAUUUACGUUAUGAUUUUCCCUUAUACUCAUCAAAAGAUUUCUGUCAGAUAGUCCUUGAACAAUUUGUUACAAAUAUAUAAUGUAGCAAUGUGAUCUAUAUUUUACCAAAUACACUCAAUCUGUUUUGAUUUUAA
Branchiostoma floridae (Florida lancelet) is the source of this 2041-nucleotide long non-coding RNA. RefSeq lists it as uncharacterized. The transcript has 2 exons. The record is from RefSeq and is a predicted model, not a curated record. Lineage: Eukaryota; Metazoa; Chordata; Leptocardii; Amphioxiformes; Branchiostomatidae.